Molecule: ribosomal RNA, 1505 nt
Filed under: metagenome
Description: bacterial LSU rRNA
Rfam family: Bacterial large subunit ribosomal RNA
Source: RNAcentral
UUAGAUCAGAAGCGAGAAUGUUGACAUGAGUAGCGACAAAGAGGGUGAGAGACCCUCUCGCCGAAAGUCCAAGGGUUCCUGCUUAAAGCUAAUCUGAGCAGGGUAAGCCGGCCCCUAAGGCGAGGCCGAAAGGCGUAGUCGAUGGGAACACGGUUAAUAUUCCGUGGCCAGGAGGAUGUGACGGAUCUCGAAGAUUGUUCGCCCUUAUCGGAUUGGGCGGGCCGUUUAGAGGUUCCAGGAAAUAGCCCUCCAUCAGACCGUACCCUAAACCGACACAGGUGGACAGGUAGAGUAUACCAAGGCGCUUGAGAGAACCACGUUUAAGGAACUCGGCAAAAUGCUCCCGUAAGUUCGCGAGAAGGGAGCCCCGUCUGUAGGCAACUAUGGGCGGGGGGCACAAUCCAGGGGGUGGCGACUGUUUACUUAAAACACAGGGCUGUGCGAAGUCGUAAGACGACGUAUACAGUCUGACGCCUGCCCGGUGCCGGAAGGUUAAAAGGAGGGGUGCAAGCUCUGAAUUGAAGCCCCGGUAAACGGCGGCCGUAACUAUAACGGUCCUAAGGUAGCGAAAUUCCUUGUCGGGUAAGUUCCGACCUGCACGAAUGGCGUAACGAUCUCCCCGCUGUCUCAAACGUGGACUCAGCGAAAUUGAACUGUGUGUCAAGAUGCACACUACCCGCGGUUAGACGGAAAGACCCCAUGAACCUUUACUCUAGCUUUGCAUUGGCAUCAGGAAUGUGAUGUGCAGGAUAGGUGGUAGGCAUUGAAGCAGGGACGCUAGUCUCUGUGGAGCCGUCCUUGAGAUACCACCCUUCGCCUUCUUGAUGUCUAACCGCGGUCCGUUAUCCGGAUCCGGGACCCUGCAUGGUGGGGAGUUUGACUGGGGCGGUCGCCUCCCAAAUCGUAACGGAGGCGCGCGAAGGUUGGCUCAGACCGGUCGGAAAUCGGUCGUUGAGUGCAAUGGCAGAAGCCAGCCUGACUGCGAGACUGACAAGUCGAGCAGAGACGAAAGUCGGCCAUAGUGAUCCGGUGGUCCCAAGUGGGAGGGCCAUCGCUCAACGGGUAAAAGGUACUCUGGGGAUAACAGGCUGAUGAUGCCCAAGCGUCCAUAGCGACGGCAUCGUUUGGCACCUCGAUGUCGGCUCAUCUCAUCCUGGGGCUGGAGCAGGUCCCAAGGGUACGGCUGUUCGCCGUUUAAAGAGGUACGUGAGCUGGGUUUAGAAUGUCGUGAGACAGUUCGGUCCCUAUCUGCCGUGGGUGCAGGAGGCUUGAGAAGAGUUGACCCUAGUACGAGAGGACCGGGUUGAACGAUCCACUGGUGGACCUGUUAUCGUGCCAACGGUAGUGCAGGGUAGCUAUGAUCGGACAGGAUAAACGCUGAAGGCAUCUAAGCGUGAAGCCCCCUUCAAAACAAGGCCUCCCUUGAGAGCCGUGGAAGACCACCACGUCGAUAGGCCGGAGAUGUAAGCACAGCAAUGUGUUCAGUUGACCGGUACUAAUUGCCC